This 561-nucleotide ribosomal RNA is filed under the name uncultured bacterium. RNAcentral's name for it is "partial 16S ribosomal RNA". It matches the Rfam family "Bacterial small subunit ribosomal RNA", at positions 355 to 909 of the family's 1533-position model. The record is from RNAcentral.
UGGGGAAUUUUGGACAACGGGGGAAACCCUGAUCCAGCCAUCCCGCGUGUGCGAUGAAGGCCUUCGGGUUGUAAAGCACUUUUGGCAGGAAAGAAACGUCGCGGGUUAAUACCCCGCGAAACUGACGGUACCUGCAGAAUAAGCACCGGCUAACUACGUGCCAGCAGCCGCGGUAAUACGUAGGGUGCAAGCGUUAAUCGGAAUUACUGGGCGUAAAGCGUGCGCAGGCGGUUCGGAAAGAAAGAUGUGAAAUCCCAGAGCUUAACUUUGGAACUGCAUUUUUAACUACCGGGCUAGAGUGUGUCAGAGGGAGGUGGAAUUCCGCGUGUAGCAGUGAAAUGCGUAGAUAUGCGGAGGAACACCGAUGGCGAAGGCAGCCUCCUGGGAUAACACUGACGCUCAUGCACGAAAGCGUGGGGAGCAAACAGGAUUAGAUACCCUGGUAGUCCACGCCCUAAACGAUGUCAACUAGCUGUUGGGGCCUUCGGGCCUUGGUAGCGCAGCUAACGCGUGAAGUUGACCGCCUGGGGAGUACGGUCGCAAGAUUAAAACUCAAAUGAA